GCCGCCAACCCAGCGCCACAGCACAAGAUGGCCGCCAGCCCGGCGCCACAGCACAAGAUGGCCGCCAGUUCAGCACCACAGCACAAGAUGGCCGCCAGCCCAGCGCCACAGCACAAGAUGGCCGCCAGCCCAGCACCACAGCACGAGAUGACCACCAGCCCAGCACCACUGCACAGGAGGGUCGAAUCUACACCUGUGUUGGCAGACAAGAUGGUUGACUCAACGCCUGAGUCUUCCGUCAAGGAGCCACCGGCACGUCAUCAUAGAGGCCGCAGGAGGAGGAGACAGGCGUCAGCCGUUCCUCAAAGCCCGGAGGACGUUCCCGAGCAGGCCGCUGCCGUCCAGGAGGACGUUCCCGAGCAGGCCGCGGUCGUCCAGGUGGAGGUGUCCAAGGUUCCCGAGGCGGUGCCCGAUCCCGAG
Cyprinus carpio carpio is the source of this 420-nucleotide long non-coding RNA. The record is from Ensembl. Lineage: Eukaryota; Metazoa; Chordata; Actinopteri; Cypriniformes; Cyprinidae.